GCUGAUCAGUAGUGGGAUCACACCUGUGAAUAGCCACUGCACUCCAGCCUGGGCAACAUAGUGAGACCCUGUCUCU
This 76-nucleotide microRNA precursor is filed under the name Otolemur garnettii (small-eared galago). RNAcentral's name for it is "miRNA (ENSOGAG00000024230.1)". The record is from RNAcentral. Lineage: Eukaryota; Metazoa; Chordata; Mammalia; Primates; Galagidae.